This 520-nucleotide ribosomal RNA is filed under the name uncultured Glomus. Its description in RNAcentral is "SSU rRNA". It matches the Rfam family "Eukaryotic small subunit ribosomal RNA", at positions 569 to 1090 of the family's 1831-position model. The record is from RNAcentral. Lineage: Eukaryota; Fungi; Glomeromycota; Glomeromycetes; Glomerales; Glomeraceae.
AGCAGCCGCGGUAAUUCCAGCUCCAAUAGCGUAUAUUAAAGUUGUUGCAGUUAAAAAGCUCGUAGUUGAAUUUCGGGGUUAGUAGGUUGGUCAUGCCUCUGGUAUGUACUGGUCUCACUGAUUCCUCCUUCCUGACGAGCCUUAAUGCCAUUAAUUUGGUGUUUCGGGAAAUUUGGACCGUUACUUUGAAAAAAUUAGAGUGUUUAAAGCAGGCUCACGCUUGAAUACAUUAGCAUGGAAUAACGAAAUAGGACGUUUGAUUUUAUUUUGUUGGUUUCUAGGAUCGACGUAAUGAUUAAUAGGGAUAGUUGGGGGCAUUAGUAUUCAAUUGUCAGAGGUGAAAUUCUUGGAUUUAUUGAAGACUAACUACUGCGAAAGCAUUUGCCAAGGAUGUUUUCAUUAAUCAAGAACGAAAGUUAGGGGAUUGAAGACGAUCAGAUACCGUCGUAGUCUUAACCAUAAACUAUGCCGACUAGGGAUCGGAUGAUGUUAAUUUUUUAAUGACUCAUUCGGCACCUUA